Oryza sativa Japonica Group (Japanese rice) is the source of this 2490-nucleotide non-coding RNA. Lineage: Eukaryota; Viridiplantae; Streptophyta; Magnoliopsida; Poales; Poaceae. The record is from RefSeq and is a predicted model, not a curated record.
CCGGACCAAACCCUAGCCCCCUCGCCCGUCUCGCCCGCAGCCUGGUGCACGCGCGGCGUCGCCUCUCCCUUCUACGCCGCCACGCCGUCGCCUCUCGCCGCCGCCUCGCCCUUCUUCCUCUGCGCGCGCCGUCGCCGCUGCAUCCUCGCCCUCCUCCAGCCAUCCUCGCCCUAGCCGCACUACUAGGCUCGCGCGCGCAUGACCUCACCUGCCGCCGCCGCCGCUCGCCCGCCGCCGCUUGCCCGCCGCCGCUCGCCUGCCGCUCGCCUGCCGCCGCCGCCGCCGCCGCCGCGGCUGCUCGCCUGCCGCCGUGCCGCUCCCCUCGCUCGGCACACCAGGCCACCUUCUCCCCUCUUCUCUCCUCUCAUCUCCAGGCCACCCACCGCCUCCCUCUUCCUCUCCCUAUCCUCGGUGAGCUACAGAUCCGGUUCGGGGGUCAUCGGAAUCGAUGGUCUCGGCCAUUGGUCUCCUCGCCGGUGAAUCGUUUUGAUACCCUUCUGCAUACAUUUAGCACAAAAUCCACAUGGUUCUGUGGAGAAAUUGAUGGGCUAGGAUGAGGUGUAAGUCGCAGAUUACAGAGAGGACGACUUUCAUUCUGCGCAUCUACCGUCAUACUGAACAAGUUAUCGAGCUUUCUCCUCUCUUAAUCAGGGCUGCGAUAUUUAGAUUAUGGUCUCCAGUUAUGCCAGUUUGCUUCUGGUUAUGUCCACAACAUAUUCAAUGUUGCAAAAUAAAUAUAAUGUAGCCAUGCUUCAGGUUACAGCUUCCAAUCCACAUCUUUUAAUAUUAUGUAGUGUGGCAUAUGCUUAUGAAAGUAAUCCAUAAUACUACUAUCUUCUGUUAGGCUUUCACAUUUAACUAUUUUAUUUUGUCGACAUCGUUUAACUUGGUGUUUUUUCCCCUUUUCCUAAGUGGUUGGUUGAUACUAUUACAAUAGUAUAGAUACACAUAAUGGAGCCAUGUUUCAGGUUAGAACUUCCAAUCUGCAUCUUUUAUUGUUAUGUUCACCUUCAAAUUUUCAUGAUGUUCAAAUGUGCUUAGAAAAUCAAGAACCAAAGAUGGAAGACAUUAUUAAGCUAGAAACAAAUUACAGCCUUGCAGAGUUAAAAGACUUGAAAGUGGUUGACCAUGUCUCAAGACCCAACACUUUCAUCUUAGAAAUGUUAAUUGAAAGCUUUCUCAAUGACAUUAUUUUCCAUAUAUCAAUUACUCCAACUAAUCUGGUACUAGCUACUGUAUAUGCAUAGUGAAUAGUUAGUAUUGCUUAAACAAUGUCUGGGACCGUUAUAUUCGUUGUAAGCAUAUAUUUCAAUUGUUUUCCUAUGAUGGUCAGUCAAAACCAGAUAAUCAAAAAAGAGAUAAAAAACUACUCUCUAUUGGUUAUUUGAUUUUCAGGCUUUCAAGAGAUUAGACUACUAGGCCUGCAUAAUUUGAAAUGCUAUUUAAUAAACUAUAUAUGUAUUUAAAUGUUCAGAAAUUUAGUUCCAGUUUAAAAUUUCAGGUGUAUGCAAUGUUGAAAACCACCAAAUCUGGGCAUUUCCUUCCAAACAACUUCUUUGAGAUGAAAUAGAUUCUGGGCAGUUGUUUCUUCCACCGUCCUUCAUUAUCUUUGUACUCUCGCAUCUAAAUUAUCCUAUGUCAAAUGUGCAUAUGAUUUAGUUCACAGCUAAAUGCAUCUAAAGGGCCAACACCAGAUCUUCUGCAGGUAACUGUGGCCUAACAUCUAAAGCCAUUAGUAGUACCCAUGUUCUUUUUUAGUUCAUAAGUCCUGGUACUGAUGUGGUGAUGCUAAGAAAGGUUUAUGUGUGAUACAAUUAAUAAGAUGUUAACCACAAAAAGAAUACAAAAGCUGUGCACUGUGCAUUAAUUGAUACUCCGUAAUUUGUUGUUUGCAGACGCAGCAAAAAUAUAUUAGAGUACAAAGGGUAAUUUGUCUUUGCCAAAAGAAUGGAGUUGAUUUUCCUAUCUUCUUAAUAGGAAAGAAUUCAAGUACAUAGUCUCUUCUAGGUAAUUUCUUCCAGAGUUUCAGUGCUGUCUGGGAUUACAAGCAGUCAAUGCCUCUUCUUAAGUAAUUUCCUUCAGUGUCGUCUGGGAUUACAAGCAGUAGAUGCCCGAUGCCACAAGUGUUAGCUUAUAUAAAAAACAAGGUUGGUAUGCCGCAUGUCUUCACUUUCUACCACAGAGUUAUUGCGCGUUUGUAAACAUGGUGAAAGAGAUGUAUCUCUGAAGCAUAAUCAAUUCAUUAGCAAUUUCAAUGUUAGGUUGUUUUUCUUUAGCCAGCAGCGCAAGAGAAAAUAGCAUAACAAUUUCAAUGUUACGCAUUUGUGUAUUCGACAGAAGGUCCAGUUAUGUGCUCCAUUGGAGAUAUUCUUAUUCUCUUCUCAAAUUGUCGAUUGGAGUAUUUGGUCGUUCAUGUGUAUGGCUUAAAAUAUUCAACAAUAUUGUAUCGAAGUGGUUAUCUUCUCAUGUUAGACAUAAGAAUUCCUUCUA